UAGGGAAUCUUGCGCAAUGGGCGAAAGCCUGACGCAGCCAUGCCGCGUGAAUGAUGAAGGUCUUAGGAUUGUAAAAUUCUUUCACCGGGGAAGAUAAUGACGGUACCCGGAGAAGAAGCCCCGGCUAACUUCGUGCCAGCAGCCGCGGUAAUACGAAGGGGGCUAGCGUUGCUCGGAAUUACUGGGCGUAAAGGGCGCGUAGGCGGAUGUUUAAGUCGUGGGUGAAAGCCCGGGGCUCAACCUCGGAAUUGCCUUCGAUACUGGACAUCUUGAGUACGGGAGAGGUGAGUGGAACUCCGAGUGUAGAGGUGAAAUUCGUAGAUAUUCGGAAGAACACCAGUGGCGAAGGCGACUCACUGGCCCGUUACUGACGCUGAGGCGCGAAAGCGUGGGGAGCAAACAGG
This 404-nucleotide ribosomal RNA is filed under the name uncultured prokaryote. RNAcentral describes it as "bacterial SSU rRNA". It matches the Rfam family "Bacterial small subunit ribosomal RNA", at positions 355 to 776 of the family's 1533-position model. The record is from RNAcentral. RNAcentral also lists the same sequence under 1 other name.